This is a non-coding RNA of Lonchura striata (white-rumped munia), 541 nucleotides long. The record is from RefSeq and is a predicted model, not a curated record. Lineage: Eukaryota; Metazoa; Chordata; Aves; Passeriformes; Estrildidae.
GGGAGCGGCCGGCAGCGGCCGGGGCGUCCCGCGAGUGCCGGGGAACACGGGCUGAGCCCUGGGAAAGGGGGGAAGCGGCGCGGAGAUUUCACAGGAGGGGGCCUCGGCGUGGAAGCAGCGCCGCUGGGAAUUGUCACCCCGCUGGGGUCUUCGUGCCACUGGGAUGUCACUCAGCUGCUGCCACAGGGCCAGCACUGCGGAGGUCACAGCUCAAAUCCUGCGUGCAGCUCUGCAUCCAGAGUGGAAAGAAGAGGAGUUGGACCGUGUCCAGAGACACCUCAGAAUGGAUAUCCCAUUCCAUCUGUUUGUCCUUGGGGGAUCCCUCUGUGCUGCCAGAACAGAGCCAAGAGCAACCUAAAAAUGCAACCUAAAUGUCCCAGGCUUCUCAAUUCCACAAAAAAAAGGGAUUUGAUGCCGUUUUUUCAUGGAAUUCCAACAGCCUCGGGCACUGCAAUUGUCCUUUGGGAUAAGCAGCAAAUCCCAAUUUCCUCGGAUCAAAGAAAGGAGGUUUCUUUAUUAAACUUUAGUAAACUUUAGUGAA